Molecule: long non-coding RNA, 1426 nt
Filed under: Sorghum bicolor (sorghum)
Lineage: Eukaryota; Viridiplantae; Streptophyta; Magnoliopsida; Poales; Poaceae
Description: long non-coding RNA (SBIC_LNC008640)
Source: RNAcentral
CAUGAAAAAUUUAGCUAUGUAAACUUACCCCUAUUACCUUAGUCCCUUAUGGGGCUUAUGGCUUUUCCUUUGUCUUAGGUGGUUGAGAGACAGAACAGUUUGACUUGAGCACUAACUUUCUCAUUCUUAGCAAGUUUCAUAUCAGAGGUUUUGUGAUAUUUUCAAAAGAAAGCUUAAAUGUUCCUCUUAUGGUUCUCUCAUGUCACUCAAAUGGUGUAUGAUUCCUCACCAAGGCAUAUGGUAAGAGUUGCCUUCUCUAUUUCAUCCUAUUUCUAAAAGGCUUAUGUGGAGUUCAAGGUAGGGAUGAAAGGAGAUAGCAUACUUACUUUGCAUGUAUUGCGAAGUCAAAGCUCGGAUCCUUGAAGAGAAGUGUCAUACUCCCAGAUCAAGAUGUGCAAGUGUGGACUAGGUUGCUCCUUUAUUUGAUAGACUCUCUAUGUAUUGAGACAUGGCUAGCAUUUUUUUCUUCUUUCUUUUUUUUUUAUAUAUAUGGGCUUUCAUGUGCUCAAUUUUCUUUUUCUGUGGACUUGCACAUGUCCAUCUUUUUAUUUCAUUUUGCCUAGCCUUUUGAUGUCUCAUUUACCAAAUAAUGCUUAGAGAGAUGUUCUAACAUUUAGAGUAUGGAGCAACCUAUUUAGUGGAUGCGAAAUACAUGUGGUUGCGUACUUCCAGUGUAGAAGCAGCAUAUAUAUAUGUGGUGUGUACGUGAUCUUGAUCUUAGGAGCAUGAAAAGUCUCUUAACAAGGGUCAACAAGACUUGACGACACUCAACACAAAGCAAAUAGCUUAUGUGGAAAGGUUGCAAUUAUGUAAAGUAGAUAUGGCUGUGGUAGGAAUUCAUCACCAUUGAGGAACAAUUAAGGUUUUGAUCAUUUUAAGAAUAAAUCUCUGAUAAUCAUGCAUGCUUAGAAAAAUAUUAUAGUAGCUCUUGUCUUACUAUCUCAUGUCCCACAAUAACUUAGACUUAGUUCUAGCACUUGCAACCCACAAAGUUUUUAGGUUCAUGGCAGUUUAAGUGAGCUAAGUGAUCCAUACUUAGAGAAAUACUAAGUUGUAUACUAGGCACUAGAGAAACAUUAACAAGCAACUAGUCAUAAUUUCCAUGAGGGAUAUAAACAUACAUGAAGCAUAUAUGCUAAAGGGAGAUGCUAAUAAAUAUUUAUUUUUUUUUAAGUAAGAAUUAUAAAAUGCAUGAAAAUAAAUAGGAUAGAAUACUUACCUUAGUGGGGGAGAGGAUCUCCCCCAAGCUAGAUCUUCGCUCACUGUGGUGGCGGGAAAUUUUGGUACCAUCCAGCCCAGCGUUGUGCGUCUUCCUCUCGCACACGUCGGAUAUGUUGGCCGUUUUGUAACGCCAGUUGCAAUGUUGCUUCUUGCCCAAUCUGCAAUUCGCCCAUGUCAUUAAUGAGACUGUCCAUACCUGUGGGCU